This 957-nucleotide ribosomal RNA is filed under the name Triticum aestivum (bread wheat). Its description in RNAcentral is "partial small subunit ribosomal RNA". Lineage: Eukaryota; Viridiplantae; Streptophyta; Magnoliopsida; Poales; Poaceae. The record is from RNAcentral.
AUGAAUUUGGUAGAACUCCUACCAACACCAACGUUUAAAAAAAAACAUAGCGUGCCACGCUUGGGUUCAUCCUCCGGAGUCCGGACAGAGACCAGACCCGAUCUCUUUUCUCUCCUCUUUCCCGGAUCACACAACCUCUCUCCGAGUCUCCCCUCUUUUCCAGCUUUUUCCUCCCCCCACCAAACUUCCACGAGACCUCCGGCCACCCACCCGCCAAGGCCUCCCUCCGCUCCGCGCUGUCCCCGCUGGACCACCGCAGCGCUCCCCUGUCCGAUCGGGAACGAGGAGAGUGUGCCACAGGAGAGCGCGAUCCGUCCCUCCGGCCCCAAGACGAGCGCCAUGGCAGACGCCGGCUCUCAUAUCGCCGCUGUCGUCGCCACCUCCACCUGCACCCACUGUCAACGAGAAAUUCCAUCAUCAAACAUCGACUUGCAUUCCGUACACUGUGCUCGUAACCUUCAAAAGUGCGAGCACUGUGGAGAAAUGGUUCCCAGGAAGCUUAUGGAAGAACACUACAAUGAAAAUCACGCUCCGGUAAAUUGCUCCCUGUGCAAAGAAACCUUGCGACCGGAGAUACUUGAUCUUCAUAAAAGUGAGCAGUGCACACAGAGGAUGGUUGCGUGUGCAUAUUGUGAGUACGAAUUGCCUGCAAUUGAUAUUCAUGAACAUCAGGAUGUAUGUGGAAACCGAACGGAGUUUUGUCAAACAUGCAAGAACUAUAUUAGACUUCGUGAAUGGAUAGGGCACGAAAUGCAGUGCCACGUUAGCUCAAAUGGUUCUGAAGAAUCAUCAAGUGCCAGAACCAUUCCAGAGAGAGAAGUGCGGCCUCCUCCACCGGUACGACCAGUGCGUGCUGUGCCUGCUGCACAACACAGGCGACUUCUCUUUACGAUUGCUGUAACUGGAAUCGCCGUCAUGGUUGGAUCAAUACUGUUCCAGAAGGAGGAGAGUUUCUAG